AAGUAUUCUAGGAUGUAUUACAUCAGGCCCUGCUGACUUGAAAACAUCUAACUUGUUUAACAGGAGCCAAAGAGAAAUGAUACAGCUGCAAUUGUUUCUAAUUGUAUGACUUAAUCACAACUACUCCCUUUCCACCGAGGCCAAAUCCCAAAAUGAAGUUGACCUUCAAGUUACUGCUGACCCUGAAGUUACUGCUUAACGUUCUGCCACUGAGAGUGGCUGAAACUAAUGUCUCAGGUAAAGUUAAAAGAGUGGAAGGCGUCACAAACGGCAAACAAGGAGCAAGGCAACUGAGCUACAAUAUAUUCACAAACUACAAAGUUAAUGCAAAGAACACCCAAGGCCACAGUUAUCUGAAGUGCAUCAUUGCAUACAGCAGCCUGCCCUUCUUAAUUCCCUCAGAGCCCUUUAAACAUAACGUGACUAUUCUGUGGUGCAUGGUGGGGGACAGACUGUGCAUUUUAACAACGGAAGGAUGGAACAUCGGUAUUUAUCAGCAAAAUAAAUCCAUGUGGGAUUAGAUGGUUCGGGAGACUGGUAAUGUAAUAAGGAACUUUUCACCCCUAAGGGGCAGCACUUCCAGUUUGUCCAUGUUAUUAAAUGACCUAGAGGAAGAACAUCAAGAAGAGGAUUGAGGGCCACUGGCAAGCCAGUUUGGCAGAGUUGGCCUUCCUUCUGCCUUACACAAUAUCUGAUCUUGCAGAGAAGUGUUCGCGUUUCAAUCAGCUUCAGCUGGCAUCUUUCACCAGAUCCUUCUUCAGAGGAAAAAAAGAACAUCCCCCCUUUAUGAAGAACGUACAUUUCCUUUGGGAAGCACAGAUAGCUGCAAAAUUAAUGUCUGAUUGCAUCCCACUAUCACAACAGCACCUGCUGAUUCUCAAUCCCACCAACAUUUGAAUGGAAGACACUACUGGACACUUCUUAGCGUGGAAACUCAGAUCCUCAGCAGCAUAUUAAGACAUUCUGCAAAGCAGUUUUAGUUUCUUCUUAUAUGAUCUUUAAUAGUUAAUUUAAGUCAUUCAUUAGUUAAAUGUGCAGAGCCACAGGGCUAUGUUCUACCCUCAGUUAUAUUGGAGUAAAGUUGGAGUUAACUCCACUACAGUCAGUGGAUGUGCACAUGGAAAGAGCUAAAGUUUUGGCUCAUUUUCAAGAGAGAAACACUGCUAAACACAGCAAGCUAGACAGUUCUUGGCAUGACCCAUCAUGGCUUGUAUAAAAUAUCUUUUGAUUUACUAGACAAUGCUAUUUCCUUUUUGCCUGAUUUAUUAAAUGACCUUUUAAAGUC
Molecule: long non-coding RNA, 1285 nt
Organism: Chelonia mydas (Green sea turtle)
Lineage: Eukaryota; Metazoa; Chordata; Testudines; Cheloniidae
Exons: 2
Source: RefSeq, a predicted model, not a curated record